This 450-nucleotide small RNA is filed under the name Pan troglodytes (chimpanzee). Its description in RNAcentral is "retained intron". Lineage: Eukaryota; Metazoa; Chordata; Mammalia; Primates; Hominidae. The record is from RNAcentral.
UUGGCUAAAAAAAAGAAAAGAACAUGGAGGCAGAUAUAAUCACAAAUCUUCGAUGCAGGCUCAAAGAGGCUGAAGAAGAGCGACUAAAAGCUGCACAGUAUGGUUUACAACUAGUAGAGAGUCAAAAUGAAUUACAGAAUCAAUUGGAUAAAUGUCGUAAUGAAAUGAUGACCAUGACUGAGGUAGGACUCUGGACUCCUCUGUCUGCAAGUGUGUGCUUAGCUAUUGAAGAUUUGUCCUGUUUAGCAAUUAAUAGUAGUAGUAGUUUAUUCUUUUCUGAAGAUUUUAGAUCUAGUUUCCGCCCUGCCCCGUCCCUGUUAAAAAAGAAUGAACUAAAUGAAUUCCUGUUAUUCUUUCCACCCUAGUGUAUUCAGAGUUUGAAAGAUCAAGUUAUCAUUACUCUCUUUGCCACAUUUACUACCAGAUUUUGCUUUGUCUGCACACUUCCUA